UACGUAGGGUGCAAGCGUUAAUCGGAAUUACUGGGCGUAAAGCGUGCGCAGGCGGCUUUGCAAGACAGAUGUGAAAUCCCCGGGCUUAACCUGGGAACUGCAUUUGUGACUGCAAGGCUGGAGUGCGGCAGAGGGGGAUGGAAUUCCGCGUGUAGCAGUGAAAUGCGUAGAUAUGCGGAGGAACACCGAUGGCGAAGGCAAUCCCCUGGGCCGGCACUGACGCUCAUGCACGAAAGCGUGGGGAGCAAACAGG
This 253-nucleotide ribosomal RNA is filed under the name uncultured bacterium. RNAcentral describes it as "partial 16S ribosomal RNA". It matches the Rfam family "Bacterial small subunit ribosomal RNA", at positions 524 to 776 of the family's 1533-position model. The record is from RNAcentral.